Molecule: long non-coding RNA, 540 nt
Filed under: Capra hircus (goat)
Lineage: Eukaryota; Metazoa; Chordata; Mammalia; Artiodactyla; Bovidae
Description: lncRNA (ENSCHIG00010010759.1)
Source: RNAcentral
CUAUACACCACAGACCACUUCUUUUCCUUUUCAACAGAAGUGAGGGCUUCCAGAGCAGUCUGAGGAAAAGGCUGGAGGCCAGUGAGUCCACCUCUUGGGCUGCCCCCCGCUGCCUGUAGGUUUUGUCAUUAUUCUAGACCUGUAUCCUCUGCCAAAUGGACAGCAACCUGGGGUUGCCAACCUCCAGCCCCCGUGGCUGUCAGAGGCCACUGAGCUGCCAAGAGAAUACCCGAGCCCUGGUUUCUCAGAAAAGUGGAUUCAAAUAUUUUGAUUAAGGGAAUUCCUAAAUUAGAAAACAUUGGAACCAAGAUUCGCUGGAGGUUCCGAUUUCUGCGAUCUGGGCCGCGGGGGGCCCUGCUUAACCACGGAGGAAUCAGCUCAGAUUUAGAAGUCUGGUCAAUUUCAGAAUUCCGAGACCCGGUUCUAGAGAAGCGGCUGCGUGCUCGGGAACCCUGCGUCAACAACCAAACCCUGGAGAAGCUGCGGGAAUAUCUUUAUUGGAUUUUGCGAAGAGCACUUGGGGUUUCUCUUAGGUUUUGA